UCCAUCAUAACAUCGUAAUAUCCUGAGUCAAAACCUGCCGAGAUAAGAAUCAACUCUGGUUGAAACUGCUCUAACAUUGUAAGCAACACGUGAUGGAACACGGAAACGUAGUCUCCUUCAGAGUUCAUUGUCCCGUUCAGCGGCACAA
Caenorhabditis elegans is the source of this 148-nucleotide non-coding RNA. Lineage: Eukaryota; Metazoa; Nematoda; Chromadorea; Rhabditida; Rhabditidae. The record is from Ensembl.